GUAGCAAAAUCAUUUGUUUUUUAAUUGGAAACGGGUAUGAACGGUUUUAUAAGUAGGUUAGAUGUAGAUCAUUUAAAUUUAAUUUCUAGUACAAGUAAAAAUACUUGUAUAAAUUAAAGGGACGAUAAGACCCUAAAAUCUUAAAUUUGAAUAGAUUAAAAGUCAAGGUUAGAUAGGAUAAAAUUUUAACUGGGGUAGUUUUUUUAAAAAAAUUAAUAUUUUAAUAACUUAAAGAUUUAAGGGUCCUUUAUAUAAGGAUAAGUAGGAUAAGUUACUUUAGGGAUAACAGCGUAAUAUUUUUGGAGAGAUCAUAUUUAUAAAAAUGGUUACGACCUCGAUGUUGAAUUAGAUAUAAGACACCAGGCAGAAAGGGUGUAAAAGGGUUUGUUCAACCUAUAGAAAUUU
This 405-nucleotide ribosomal RNA is filed under the name Eusirus hirayamae. RNAcentral describes it as "partial 16S ribosomal RNA". Lineage: Eukaryota; Metazoa; Arthropoda; Malacostraca; Amphipoda; Eusiridae. The record is from RNAcentral.